CAUCUUCCUGCUCCAUGGAGAGAUGACGAAGUUCAUCAUGAAACUGUGUGCGAGGUUCAUGAAGCCGUCAGCACUACAGGGCUGAGAAGUCCAUGACAUCCUCUACAAGGACUCACUAAACCAACUGCCAGGAGAAAAGCUAAAUGUUUGCUUCACCACCAGAGCUACCCUCAACAGGCUCCUUGAGCCUGGAGACAUCACAGCUCAGGAGGUGCAGCUAUUCUAGCAGGCAGCACUGGUGUUUCUGGUCAGGGCUGUGGAGUAUGGACUUUACAGACUCCCCCUGAAGGAGGCCCUUCUGAAGCACGCAAAAUUUGUUGAUGUGCAGCAGAGGGCUGAGUGUGGGGUG
Molecule: long non-coding RNA, 349 nt
Organism: Lampris incognitus (smalleye Pacific opah)
Lineage: Eukaryota; Metazoa; Chordata; Actinopteri; Lampriformes; Lampridae
Exons: 3
Source: RefSeq, a predicted model, not a curated record